RNAcentral lists this long non-coding RNA (416 nucleotides) under Rattus norvegicus (Norway rat). RNAcentral describes it as "long non-coding RNA NONRATT020961". Lineage: Eukaryota; Metazoa; Chordata; Mammalia; Rodentia; Muridae. The record is from RNAcentral.
GGCCAGUAUACCCACGUCACUUGUGGGCAGCCUACACCGGACCUGAAGGCAACGGACAAUGGGCUUGGCAAACCUGACUUUGCGGAGGCUUCACGGGAACGGCGGUCCAGCUACCUUCCAACUCCACAUCGAGCUUAUGCAGAGAAAAGGAUGCUCACCGAGGUUUGAUGGAUGCGGGCAGGCCUGCAGGAAAACAGGAGCUCUGAGCAAGUCAUCUCUCAGGCUUCCUUCUCAUGCUCACUACUCCCGCCUUAGCUCCAGAGGACCUCGAACCCCCGCCCCGCCCCCUCCCGUACACAGUACACGGCAUCCUGGACCAAAUAUCUGGACUAUAGACUGUUGCUCGCUCCUCGCAGCAUUCGAGGUUUCUCCAUCUUAGUGACAUUUUUGGAAAUUUCAACGGUGCCACCCAAUCA